Molecule: long non-coding RNA, 163 nt
Organism: Clupea harengus (Atlantic herring)
Lineage: Eukaryota; Metazoa; Chordata; Actinopteri; Clupeiformes; Clupeidae
Exons: 3
Source: RefSeq, a predicted model, not a curated record
AGCCGCUGUAUGUUGAUGUGCAUGUGGGAGAAUGACGCCGUGUUGUUGUGCGUAACAAGUGUCUGCUGGGCACUGUUACCGUAGCAGUGAGGGGAGUUGUUCUCAGGAAGCCAUCAGCUACAGUGUUCGUAGCCUUGUUGAAAAGUGAUAGACCCUCGCAGCU